RNAcentral lists this ribosomal RNA (208 nucleotides) under uncultured bacterium. Its description in RNAcentral is "partial 16S ribosomal RNA". It matches the Rfam family "Bacterial small subunit ribosomal RNA", at positions 568 to 774 of the family's 1533-position model. The record is from RNAcentral.
CUCGUAGGCGGUUGCGUAAGUCGGACGUGAAAACUCAGGGCUCAACCCUGAGAUGCCGUUCGAUACUGCGCUGACUGGAGUCCGGUAGGGGAGCAUGGAAUUCCUGGUGUAGCGGUGAAAUGCGCAGAUAUCAGGAGGAACACCAGUAGCGAAGGCGGUGCUCUGGGCCGGUACUGACGCUGAGGAGCGAAAGCAUGGGUAGCAAACA